GCCUGGGUGGCUCAGUUGGUUGAGCAUCUGACUUCAGCUCAGGUCAUGAUCUCACACAUUGUGGGUUCGAGCCCUGCGUCAGGCU
This 85-nucleotide transfer RNA is filed under the name Felis catus (domestic cat). It matches the Rfam family "tRNA". Rfam says of the family: Transfer RNA (tRNA) molecules are approximately 80 nucleotides in length. Their secondary structure includes four short double-helical elements and three loops (D, anti-codon, and T loops). Lineage: Eukaryota; Metazoa; Chordata; Mammalia; Carnivora; Felidae. The record is from Rfam by way of RNAcentral.